UGUGGGGCUGGUUGCUUUAAGUUGCUGCUGAGUAAAUGACAACUGGAUAUGAUGACUGAUUACCUGAGAAAUAAUUGAUGAAAUCUCAAGAAAAUUCCUCUAGAUAGUCAAGUUCUGAUCCAGCUGUGUCAUGUCAGCUCAAAGCAGCAACUUG
RNAcentral lists this microRNA precursor (154 nucleotides) under Microtus ochrogaster (prairie vole). Its description in RNAcentral is "miRNA (ENSMOCG00000007796.1)". The stretch from base 44 to 123 matches the Rfam family "Small nucleolar RNA SNORD20". From Rfam's summary of the family: U20 is a C/D box small nucleolar RNA that is encoded in intron 11 of the nucleolin gene in human, mouse and rat. Lineage: Eukaryota; Metazoa; Chordata; Mammalia; Rodentia; Cricetidae. The record is from RNAcentral.